Molecule: ribosomal RNA, 500 nt
Filed under: uncultured archaeon
Lineage: Archaea
Description: bacterial SSU rRNA
Rfam family: Archaeal small subunit ribosomal RNA
Source: RNAcentral
AUACUCCAGCGCGAGCGUGACGAGGUUAAUCCGAGUGACUCCCGCUGAGGGGGUCUUUUGUCAGCUGUAAAUAGGCAGGCGAAUAAGGGGAGGGCAAGCCUGGUGUCAGCUGCCGCGGUAAUACCAGCUCCUCGAGUGGUCGGGGCGAUUAUUGGGCCUAAAGCAUCCGUAGCCGGUUCCGUAGGUCCUCUGUUAAAUCCAACCGCUUAACGGUUGACCUGCAGAGGAUACCGCGGGACUAGGAGGCGGGAGAGGCGGACGGUACUCCGCGUGUAGGGGUAAAAUCCUUUGAUCCGCGGAAGACCACCAGUGGCGAAGGCGGUCCGCCAGAACGCGCUCGACGGUGAGGGAUGAAAGCUGGGGGAGCGAACCGGAUUAGAUACCCGGGUAGUCCCAGCCGUAAACGAUGCUAGCUAGAUGAUUCAUUCGCAAGUCGCGAAUGAAGUGUCGCAGGGAAGCCGUUAAGCUAGCCGCCUGGGGAGUACGGUCGCAAGACUGAA